This 492-nucleotide ribosomal RNA is filed under the name uncultured bacterium. RNAcentral's name for it is "partial 16S ribosomal RNA". It matches the Rfam family "Bacterial small subunit ribosomal RNA", at positions 29 to 507 of the family's 1533-position model. The record is from RNAcentral.
AGUGAACGCUGGCGGUAGGCCUAACACAUGCAAGUCGAACGGCAGCACAGUAAGAGCUUGCUCUUACGGGUGGCGAGUGGCGGACGGGUGAGGAAUACAUCGGAAUCUACUUUUUCGUGGGGGAUAACGUAGGGAAACUUACGCUAAUACCGCAUACGACCUACGGGUGAAAGCAGGGGAUCUUCGGAACUUGCGCGAUUGAAUGAGCCGAUGUCGGAUUAGCUAGUUGGCGGGGUAAAGGCCCACCAAGGCGACGAUCCGUAGCUGGUCUGAGAGGAUGAUCCGCCACACUGGAACUGAGACACGGUCCAGACUCCUACGGGAGGCAGCAGUGGGGAAUAUUGGACAAUGGGCGCAAGCCUGAUCCAGCCAUACCGCGUGGGUGAAGAAGGCCUUCGGGUUGUAAAGCCCUUUUGUUGGGAAAGAAGAGCAGCAGGUUAAUACCCCGCUGUUCUGACGGUACCCAAAGAAUAAGCACCGGCUAACUUCGUG